This 369-nucleotide unclassified non-coding RNA is filed under the name soil metagenome. RNAcentral describes it as "partial contains 5.8S ribosomal RNA, internal transcribed spacer 2, and large subunit ribosomal RNA". The stretch from base 1 to 120 matches the Rfam family "5.8S ribosomal RNA", at positions 35 to 154 of the family's 154-position model. The record is from RNAcentral.
GAUGAAGAACGUAGCGAAAUGCGAUAAGUAAUGUGAAUUGCAGGAUUCAGUGAAUCAUCGAAUCUUUGAACGCACAUUGCGCCCGCCAGCACUCUGGCGGGCAUGCCUGUUCGAGCGUCAUUUCGACCAUCAGGCCCUCCGGGCUUGUGUUGGGGCUCCCUGCGGCUGUCCGCAGGCCCUGAAAACCAGUGGCGGGCUUGCAAAGUCACACCGAGCGCAGUAGAUUUUUUUCAUCUCGCUCAGGGCGUGCGUGCGGGCGCCGGCCGUAAAAGACGAGAGCGCGGCCUCGGCCGCCCACAAAUACCACAAGGUUGACCUCGGAUCAGGUAGGAAUACCCGCUGAACUUAAGCAUAUCAAUAAGCGGAGGA